Molecule: ribosomal RNA, 374 nt
Filed under: uncultured organism
Description: partial 16S ribosomal RNA
Rfam family: Bacterial small subunit ribosomal RNA
Source: RNAcentral
AGAGGGGUGCAAGCGUUAAUCGGAAUGACUGGGGCGUAAAGGGGCACGUAGGCGGGUAACAUAAGUUAGUUGUGAAAGACCAGAGCUUAACUUUGGUAAGUCAACUAAAACUGUGUUACUAGAGUACAGUAGAGGUAAGAGGAAUUUCCGGUGUAGCGGUGAAAUGCGUAGAUAUCGGAAGGAACACCAAUGGCGAAGGCAACUUACUGGACUGUAACUGACGUUGAGGUGCGAAAGCGUGGGUAGCGAACAGGAUUAGAUACCCUGGUAGUCCACGCCGUAAACGAUGAAAACUAGCUGUUUUAGACCGAGAGUCCGAAGUAGCGAAGCAAACGCAAUAAGUUUUCCGCCUGGGGAGUACGACCGCAAGGUUA